UACUCCUCACGUUGUACCGGGAUCUUUGCUUCGAUUCAAACAUUUCACAGACUGUAUAAUUUUGAAUGGAAUCAUAACACUUAUCAUUCACAAGACAGAAUGGCCAGCCUGGUUCUUCCAGCUUCCCCAAACUGGUAUUUGAGCCAAAUUAGCGAUUCAAAUCGCGGAGGGUUCUACGUUUUCGGCGCUCGGCACGAUGUUGCUAUCUUUGACACAUCCAGUGUGCCCCGAACCCCUCCACGGUAUAUCAAUUCAUUUUGUGGACAUAAAGAUCGAGUGUCAUGUGUUAAGCUUGGUCAGAUACAGAGCCAACUGAACAUUUGUUGCAGCUCAGCUGAUGAUUUGAAAGUGAAACUUUGGGAUGUCAAUACUCAGGUUGAAAUCCAGUCACACUCAGAACACAAAGACAAAAUCACAGCAUUAUCUUGGUCACGCAGUCAAACUGACCUGAUAGUCACUGGAGAUGAACGUGGGACAGUGGUUGUAUGGCGAUACCGAACAGAUGAACACCAGACUUUCCGACAUGAGAAGGACCUCAUUUUCAGUCUGGCUUGCUGCCCACACGACCCAUCGUUGUUGGCUGUAGGGUACAAGUCUGGGAACAUACUUCUGCUGGACAUGUCAUCCCGGGGGUACAUCCAGCACCGUCUGCGUGGUCAUGACGACGAGGUGCACAGUGUUGUCUGGUGCCCUGUGCCCGGGGAGAAUGUGCUGACUGAGGGAGCUUAUUCAGAAGCAGGAGACGACACGGAAGGUUAUCUGCUGGCUUCUGGAUCCCGGGACAGAACUAUACGAAUCUGGAAGUCUAGUCAGGGGAAGCAACUCCAGGUGAAGAAGCUGCCACUGAACACGGGUAACCGGCGUGACAACGCGGACAGUCAAGGGAGGAGCAAGGUGUGGACUUCCCUGUACUGGCCACUGGACCACCCCACACAGCUUGUGUCAUCCUCUUUUGGUGGUGAGCUUGUGAUGUGGGAUCUGUCUCCGGUGGGCCACAAGAGGGAGAUCUUCCAGGCAGGAGACAGUCGCAUCCACUCACGCAUCGUGUUCAACAUCUGUGCAGGGGGAGAGGAGAUGAACACACUGUUCACUGUGGGCAUGGACAGAAUGAUUGUUCUGUGGGACCUCGACCGUCAGUGUUCUGUGUACUCCAUACCAUCACUAGGGGGACAUGUGUACAACAUGGAGACGUCUCCACUUGAUCCUGGACGAGUUGCUGUCGGUGUGGGGGACAACACCAUCCGUGUUUGGAACACCAAUAACAAGGUCAACCCUUUUGAUAUCAACACGUUGUGGCAGGGAAUCAAGUCCAAGGUCACAUCGCUGUGCUGGCAUCCCACAAAGGAAGGGCAGCUUGCAUUUGGCACCGACCACGGCAGUGUCGGCAUCUAUGACGUCAUGACAAACAAACAUCCAAACGUAUCUUCAACGUUUCAUAGAAGAACUGUGUAUGUGGUUGCCUUUGGCCCUGCCUCCAGAUCUGCUGAAGCUGGUGAGUCAUCCUCCCUCAGCCUGUACAGUGUGGGGGACUCGAUGGUGCUGGAACACAGGCCUCAUGCAUUCAACAAGGAUGCUGUGGACAUCAACCAACUCAUUGAACAAGUCAACGGCAAAAGGAGUCACAGCCAGGGUAGAACAGACAUCUGCUGGAAGCCAGACAACUCAGUUGUGGCCAUAGCCAGUGAUGAUGGUUCUGUGGAGAUCUGUCAGUCAGGGACAUUCAAGCUGCUGUGUGUGGUCCAAGUGCACCGCAAGCUUAUCAACUGUCUGAAGUGGCACCCCCAGUUCACAGCGGACAAGCCCCUGGGCUCCGACUGUCGACACUGGCUAGCAUCAGGUGCCAGCGAUGCCCUCGUCAACGUUGUUGACCUGUCCAGUACAUUAGAUUCUGUGUCUGAGGGUGUGGCCAGCCUCACGGACAGCAUCCGCCGGCUGGAGGGGCACAGCAUCAGGGUGACGGCCAUCUCCUGGAACCCCCACGUCGAGGGACAGAUGGUCUCUGUGGGAUAUGACAGUAUGGCCUAUGUGUGGAAUGUGAAGACAGGGGAGGCAAUGUAUCAGUUUGAGGGACACAUUCAGCGCCUCUUGGCGGUGACCUGGAGUGGUACUGACCCCGAUGAGGUCAUGUCUGGAGGGUUUGACUCCAUGCUGCACCGAUGGAAGGUUUCCUCCCUCCCAAAGGCCGUCAUAGAAACAGGAAAGAAAAAGAAGAAGAAGAAGAAAUCUCACAGUGUCAAUACAGACGGUAGUCUGGUGUCCUCCAAAGGAUCAUCUCCUACAGUGUUUGAAGUAGCAGACGUCACAGAAGGUGAGAGCAAUGACAGCUUUGGCAGUGAUGCAAAGGGACAUAACUGGACUGACAAACAGAAUGGACAACCACAAGAAAACUUGAAGGCCACAGAGGGGGACUGGCCAUCUGAAAAUGUGGAUGCAGCAGGGCGCAGUAAACAGGCACAUGAGGGGAAGCGGCCCAAGGAGAGGAAGAAGCUGGACUUCCAGGAUGAGCUGGCUGAGUUGAGGGAGAUGUUGGAGAUGAGGAAGAAACAGAUACUGAAGGAGCAACAGCAGCAACCACAGUCACAGCAGACGUCACAGCCGCUGAAGGCAUCCCAACAGCACAGUAAGUCUCAGCAGAAGGCACCGAGAACAGCUACAAGACAUGAUGGCAGCAUGCAGGAGCUGACACCUGGUGUACAGGAAGAUGGCGAUGAGGAAGGGCUAUCAAGGGAGGAAAACUUGUCCGAUCUUAUACAAGAGGGAUUAACUACAAAUCUGCCGUGGGAGGACACACCGACAUCGCAACGUUGUGUUGAUGAUGCAGAGAAUCGUGAAACUGCGGCAAACAUCCUUGGGACUCAUUACCUGUCAAGCAAGAGCAAAGGAGAUUAUAGCAGUGUUAGAGACACCAGCAGCAAAAGGGAUUCCAGUCUGCGGGAGUCCAGCAUUACAUCCAGAAAGCGCAGGACACGUGCUAAAUCAUUCUUUCCUGUUUCGGCUAAAGAAGAGAAUCGUGGCAAAUCAGCGACAUUAGAAGACUUGUUGUUGUUGACCAGAUUGAAGACUGCAGAUCAGGAUGCAGAUCCCCAUGUCCAGGAUGACGACAGUGUCCAUCUGGGAUUGUUUACUGAUCGCCGGGGAACAUACAGAUGUCUCAACAGAGAAGGCGAGUACCAUCUGAACAAUGACAGCAUGGACUACGCCAUACAGAUGGAGAUAUGGAAGGGCAACAUUGGGGGCGCUCUGCAGAUCGCAACAGAUAGAGAAGAGCUCUCUGAUUGGUUGGUGGGCCUUGCCCCUCUUGCUUCCUACGACACGUGGCUGGGGAUGUGUGAGGAGUACGCCCGGCAGCUGGAGGGGGACGGUCAGUACCACAAGGCCACCUCCUACCUGCUGGCCUGUCACAAGGUGUAUGAAGCCAUCGACCUCUUCAAGCGGCACAGACUAUUCAAGGAGGCUGUGGCACUUGCGCGGAUGAGGUUGUCUCCCCUUGACCCAGUGCUGGAGGACCUGUAUAUGGAGUGGGCGCAGAUGUUAAUGAAAGAUGGCAACUACGAGCAGGCCGCCAAGUGUUACCUGGCUAUGAAGCAGAUCCAGGAUGCUGCCAAUCUGUUGACGAAGAGAACCGACCAAUCGUCCCUCAAAACGGCUACCCACAUGACUUUGUUAGCCAAUGAAAAGCCUCAGGGAUUUCUGUAUGCUCAUAGAUUGGUUCAUCAGUUCAUUGCCAAGGAUGACUGGAAACAGGGCUACAAAUUCCUCAAGGAACAUGAAACACUGAAGAUGUUGCUGCCGUUUGUCAGCAUGCACGAGCUGCUACUGCGGGAACUACAGUCCCUCACCCCGGGGACACUGAGGGAGGUUGACCCCGCCUGCUUCACAGAGUGGGGGGAGGCGCAGACCGGGAAGGCAUUCAUUCCAGAUUUCAUCCUUGAUGUAACUGAAUGUGAUCCUGUGUUGCCAUGGAAACCCUACAUGAUUGGAGAGCACUCCUUCCCACACCAUGUACUGAAGGUCUGGUCUGGUAACCUUGACAUUGGCAUGGACUCUGAGAGCCUCACUCUGACGUACAGGACUCUCCAGCAGCUUCAGUCUGGGAGACAGAGUCACAUCGACCCCCAGCAGUUGAUGUUCCAAGUGUGUAUGGACCUGACAUUGUCCUUGCUGGCCGUGCUGCUGGGUGAAACCGCCUCCGCCAUCAACCACCUGCUACAUGGAGUGUCCACACUGCACACCGUGGGCCAGCUUGACCUCAUGGAGGCGGUGUGUCAGCUCAUGCUGCCCCUGGGUCCCAAGUACCUCCUGAAGCUGCAGCAGGAAGCCACGGCACUGCGAGUCCUCAUCAGCAUGGAGGCCCACCUGGAGGUGGAGGGGUCCGGGAAGGCACCCUCACUCAAACGCUACCUCACCGACAUCAAGGAGGAUGACAGUGUGUCCACCUCGGGGCUCCGCUGUCGGGAGCUAGACUGUCUCCGAGCCUACUACUACCUUGCGAUCCUGCAUUACCUCAAGAACACCAUACUGGAGGAUUCCCUCACUCAAGGUCAGACUGCAGAAGCAUCUGUAGAUGAUGACUUCAAGGUCCAGGCGAAUGUGGAUCUUGAGCAGCUGACUCUUAGAGAGUCGGAUAAUCCAGUUGAAGGUGAAGGUCAGUCUGCAUCAGGUCAAAGUGGCCAGUCUGUUGUUUUAUCUCGCAGUCAGGAUUCCUCCAAGGUUAAAAGUGAAAGUGAACCAGCAAUAUCAAGUGAUGAUCAGGGUCAGUGUAUUGUACAAGGUGAAGGUCAAUCUGUUUCAGUUGGUCAAGGUCAGACAGAUAUUCCAACUGAUUCCAAAGAGAUUUCUGAGGAUGUAAGCAAGGCUAAUGCCGGCUGUGAGAAGGAUGUAAGUGUCUUGGAGGGUGCAAGUGGGACAAAUGUUGAUGGUGCCCAAGGAGGGCAAAGUGCCUUGGAUAAGGAUUCCAUUCCAUCUGAAAGCCAUGACCAAAGGGAUGUAUCCAAAAAGUGCCAAACUGCUGACAGUGUUCAGUUGUUAUCAAUCACCAAACUGAAACAGAUAUCCAGAGGCCUGCUCUGGGAUAUACAGGCCAAAAAGCAUUCUCUUACAGAGACCCUUGGCUACAUUCAUAAAGCCAUCUCCAAACACCUUCUGGCAGACAAAUCCAAGGACCACCAGUCAAGAGUAUUCAAACGAGCUCCUCAACAAGCAGCUGGAGGAGAGAACAAUAACAACGGCUUCAGCAGUAGUGGGGAUGCCACAGAGAACACAGGUUCAAGUCAGGCAGGUGAUGGGGGGAGUGCUCAGGCAGCAUCCCCAUCAUCACCAUCAGCAUCAGCACACUCCACUGUUCCUAAUGGACUCAAGGAUGGUCUUGCUGCAGCAGGAACUGUGGCCAGUCUCUGCAACCCUCUUGAUCCAUCAGACAUUGAGUUAGUGUCAUUUUCUGGAACUGAAACUUUUGCCAAGUCUCGGAAGGUUCUCUGGGAAGAUGAGCCACAUAAUAGUGAGAGUGUGGACUCCCGACCGAGGAAGGCCAGCUGUGUGUUGAAUCCAGCCAAAUACAUCAAUGUGCCGGAUGAGUGGUAUGGAAUGCCAGUAGAUGAGAAGUAUUUCAGGCCCUAUGUUACCAUGGCAGUGCUGAAGGAAGAGCAGGAGUAUGUGAUGCAUGAACUGAAGCGGGUUCCAGACAGCUCUGUGGUUUCUUUUCCCAACCCAUUUGACAGCGUGAAGGUGUUGUUGGAUGUCUGUCGUCUUUGUCCACACCUGGACGGAGACUCAAAGAAUGCAUAUAACAACCUGCUUGUCCUCUGGGCUCUACACUUUGCCGUCACAUCACAUCAGCGUAGGGAGCUCAGCAAGCUCAUCAAGUGUUCACCAGAAAAAGAGAGUCAAGUCUAAGUUCAAGUUAAGAUAGCGUACGCCUUUCAACAUCAAACAGUGCUUUGUAGCAUUCUAGCAAAAUAUCUUGUAUGUAGUAUUUGGAGUAUCAUAUGUCAACAUUGAUCACUGUAUUCAAAGUGGGUGUAUCUGGAGACCUUACAUUAAUCCAAACUUGCAAACAAAUCUGAGACUCAAUCCCAAUAUUGUUGUGAUACCUUACAUGUAAAUGUGAGCUGUUCUUCAACAAGAAGAAGCAGUGACUGUAGACUGUCCUGCUGUUAGGGCCAGACUGGAUACAGAAGUGCAGUCAGAUAACCACAGUGGUAGGUAGUUGUAGGCGUACCUGUACUCACUAACUGGUAUACCCCAGAUCUGUUCCUGUUUCUCCUCAACUAUCCCAUGUAACCUGUCUCCAUUCUAUUACCCUGGACCCAUUCUCCACCGUAGCUUCAGAAGUGACGUCAUCAUAUCAGUUCCCUCAUCACUGACUUACCCCAGAAUUUCUCUCUUCACUGAGCCGGAAGUCAGCAACAAAUCAACAUGCUCUUUCUGAAUGCUGAAAUAUACAUCUACAUUCACAAUUGUGACCUCGUACGAGCGAACCCUUAGUACAUUUGACUCAAUCAGAAGACUGUUUUAAAUGAAGACUUCAAACCUAAUUCAGAAUGAAGCUAUGGUGGCAGAUUGAUCCAGGGUAUUUUUCAUUACAGAAUGAAAAUACAGGAGGAUGGGUCCUGUUCUAAGAAUAUGCUUUUCAUUUAUGGUAGGCCAAAACGUUUUGUUUUUUGAAAAUCGUCUGCUUUGAAAUCCAUAAAUAAACAGCAAACCCUGACAUUGUGCAUGCUGCGUGGAGUUAUGUGGUACGUGCUGUGUAUCACCAGACAUGGUACAAUCUACUCUGACCAGUCUCAUGGUGUCAAGUAUUGUUGUGUACCAGUCUACAGAAGACAUACACAUGAUAAUGUGGGAAAAAGUCUUUUUCAGCAUUUCCCCUUGUCAGUUGCUAAAGUAUGUUACCCAAGUAGCCAUCGUCAGCCUCACUUUGCUUUUUACAUCCACCUGCUUUAUCUUCAGCCUUGUAGUUGAAUGUAAUAUUCCAGCUGUAUCACGACAGCCUGUAAAAAUUGUCUAGAAACAGGGUGGUUUGUUUGUUGUUUAACCCACACAGUCAAUAUUCCAGCUAUAUGACGUCAGUCUCUAAAUGAUCGAGUCUGAACCUAACAAUCCAGUAACUCGACAUCAUGAGCAUCGAUCCACGCAGUUGACCUGCAUCAUCCAAGUCAGCAAGCCUGGCCAACCGAUCCUGUCAGUCGCCUCUUACGACAAGCAAAGUCGCCUUUUAGGGCAUGCUUGGGUUGCUGAAGACCUAUUCUAACCCGGAUCUUCACAGGUUGAGACCAGGCAAACCAGUGAUUGACAGCAUGAGCAACAAUCAAUGCCAUCAGGGCAUGAUGACAUGUUAUCGGCCAAGUCAUCAAACCCAGCCAACUUGUCCUCUGAAGUCUGCUCGUACAACAAGCGAUACUGGGGAACUAGCUAAUCUUAGCCAGAAUCCCCACAAGGCUGUGACAGCAAAGGGGGGUAACUCUCAAUAUGUCAACAGUCAGUUUACCUUGGAAUGGGAGUCAUUCUAUUGUGUUCUUGUUGCUAUUGACUAAACUUCACUUUUGUUCUUCUUUUUGCCUUACUGUAUCAGAUUUCAUCACGCUAAACAAUUCAACCCAUCCUAAAGUAGGGUUUGUUUUGUUGGGUUUUUUUGUGGGUUUUUUUGUGGGUUUUUUUUUUAUUUCUUUGAAAAACAUUAAUUUGCAGAAUGAUAGUAAAAAACAGCUUUCAAAUUCAGAUAAUGACUGUUUUAUCUAUUGUGAAGUGGAACAAAUGUGUGCUAUUUACAUACAAUACAGACAAUACUAGGAUAGUAAUAAGAGCUAUGGUGCAACUCAAAGAAAACCAAUGAAAGUUUCUGGUCUUGGUCUGCCGAUUAUAGACUGAUCAACCAUCAGGAUACCGGGAACACGCACAUAUUAUGGAGAGGCCUCAACGAUGGCAGGCAUACAAAUGAUUCCCAUCCUGCCUUAGUAAAGAAUGACAUACCGGGUCCAUUACCAUAGUGAACCCCUAUCCUGCAAUACUUCAUAGGCCAAUGUUGAUGUAUGGCAGAAAUACAAGUAGUUCUGAUAAGGACAUGUUUCUGGUUUAUCUGACAAAGAAACGUCUACCAUAAAUGGCAUUGUUGAUUUGAUUGUUAUUUGUGUUUUUUUCUGUUAUAAUGGCAUAAUCUUCAGGUGUGCUUCCCUUUUGUCUCUUAGUCUGGCUGCCCAUGUGUAGAUUCAGACCUGAUGAUUUGGGACAAUCACGCAGCAGUUGCAUGUUUGAUCUCUUCACAUCUCAUUGCCUCUCUCUGUUGAUAAUGACCUGUAUUAUUUCUGACAUAUUUCGAAGACAGUCCCAAGAUCGGCUGGUCUUUAACUCUUGAUAUUCUCACCUAGAUUAUGAUAGUUGGUUUCUAAGCACCUUACCCAUGAUCGUAGUUUUCAUGAAAAUUUACACAUCUGUGAUCUGCAUCACUCUGGGCUGCCGUCUUACACUCAGAUGCCUUAGUCGAACUGUAAAGAUUAAAGACCAACUGAUUCACUUAUCUUCAGUAAAAAGUCUUUAGGAUUUCACCAUGUCAGUGGUAUUCACACAAACCUGUACUGGAUCCAGUAUAGUUACCUCAGUUGGACUAAAUUUUCAUGAAUUUAGGUACAAUUGGCAUCUAUAAAACAUAUUUAACAAAGUACAUGCUGGAAGUUUUUUAAGAAACAUUGAUUUGUUACAAAUUGUUUUGUCAUUUAGACUAUUUGUCAAAAUUAGAAUAAAAGAUUUCAAAACUCACAAUCUACAUAAAGUCAAUCAGUCACAAAGCACAGUACAGUUUCUACACAUCACAGAAUUUGCAGUUUCUCCAGUGAUGGGGCAGUUGGUUUGCAGUACGAUCUUAAUGGAGUCAGUCUUGUGUUCUGAGGUUCAGGGUUGGGUCACUCAGGCUGUUGGCUUACAGCUUCAGGAUUAUUCUAGCCUUGCACAGUCGGGUAAUGAAAGCUGUAGUGUGGCAUCCUGGCUUUGUGAAAGUUGUAGUGUUGUAGUUUUUAGUGUGGCAUCCAAGGUUUGUGAAAGCGUAGUGCUGGAUCCAAGGUUUGUGAAAGCUGUAGUGCUGCAUCCAAGGUUUAUGAAAGUUGUUGUGUUGUUUCCAAGGUUUAUGAAGCUGCAGUGCUGCAUCCAAGGUUUAUGAAAGCUGCAGUGUUGCUUCCAAGGUUUAUGAAAGCUGUAGUGUUGCAUCCAAGGUUUAUGAAGCUGUAGUGUUGCAUCCAAGGUUUAUGAAAGCUGCAGUGUUGCUUCCAAGGUUUAUGAAAGCUGCAGUGUUGCUUCCAAGGUGUAUGAAAGCUGUAGUACUGCAUACUAGUAUAAUGAAAGAUGUAAUGUUGUGGCCUAGAUUUAUGAAGACUGAAGUACAACAAUAAAUUACAGAACCAUUACACUAAUAGAAUGCCCUAUAAUGAAGUAAGUUAGACAGAUUUAGUUAACAGUGGCAAUUGAAGAUUUCUUUAUAUUCAUUGAAACAAAGGAGAGGUAACACUCUUCCAAGAGACCGACUGGAAUCAGUUGGUGUGAAAUGCCCCUUUUGUUAGUCAAGGGAGACAACUCUUAUAGCCAUGUGGGCUGUACAGUGACAGUUGGACAGGCUAACAACUGUGCACAAUACAUGUAACAGAUUCACCAGAGGUACUGGAUGGACUGAGGAUGUUAUUAAACACUGUGCUAUUUGUGAGAUAUGUUACUCUACAGAAGAAAAAAUAUUAGUGUCAGGUGAUUUUGUCUAUUUUUGUGUGAAAGAAGUCAUGCUGGCUGAUUUUCUGUUUGUAUUCAAAAUGUGUUUUGGAUUUUUUCAACUGUUUUGUUGAUUUGUGCAUCAAAGUGCUAGGCCAGUUGUGAUACUUUUUGUGGAGUUUAGCUUUUCCGUUUCCAAUGUAGUGUUUCAUGCAUUGUCCUUGAUGUCACCCGUGGUUGACCUUGACAUUAUCAAUGUGAGCUUGUGUCUUUAGCCCUGUCUGUCCACCAUCUGCCAGCACUGACUUUAACAUUUGUUCUCCCCAAACCACUGAGCAUGUCAAUAUCGUAUUUACACAUGUGGAACAUGAAAAUUUCAGUAGCAGUCAUGACAGGUCAUAAUUAUUACAGAAGUAUCUGUGACAAUUGGAAACACUCUUUGAAAGUUUCCUUUCUUUAAUAUCCAACCAACAGAGCCAUAGUUUUCAGUUUUUCAGAAAUAUUGUUUAUUGCAUUUGAAAAUAUUGCAAAAUGGACUUUAGAGCAUUGUCAUUCAAGUGUUGAAGUACUCAAUGAAGGUGAGAUUCUGUACCUUGGGUACGCUGGUUUUGUUAGCUAUUUUUGAAAAAAAUAAAUUCUUUGUGAGGAAAAAAUAUACUGUGACUUCCAAGAAUUGUAUGAAUGUUGCUUUGAUGAAGACAAAGAUGGAGGAAGUGUAAUGGCAUUUCCUUUUGCUGAAGUUGACAGGGAACAAGUAUAUUAAAACCACAUUACUUUUCUCCAAUGAACUUAUUCUGUAUCUACCAAAGAACUUGAUCAUGUCAUUGUCACCGAUGUAUUUUAUCAGUAUUGUUUCAUGUGUAGAUUUAAUGGAGUCACAUGAUAAUCCCAGCUCAUGACUUGGAUGAAACGGAACCAAUGUUUGAGGACUAGGCUUGACAGAAAUACAUGGUUAUUUCAUUGAAGGAAUGUGCAUUCACCAGUUGACUUUUUCACCCAGCUAGGACUGUAUGUAAACUUUGCCUCAAAGUGUUUUGAAAAGAUCAAAGCAUUGCCUUCUGUUUUCUGCUUCUGUGUGCUGCUCAUGUUGACAGUGCAAUGCCAAUGAACAGAAGAUGGGUAAAGUAUUUCUGUGUCACUAUUGUUUGACAAAGUAAAAAUACAAGAUUUAUGAUUGUUAAAUUUGUGAAUAAAGAAAAUUACUGAUAA
RNAcentral lists this unclassified non-coding RNA (10893 nucleotides) under Haliotis rufescens (red abalone). RNAcentral's name for it is "gem-associated protein 5-like, transcript variant X1". The record is from RNAcentral. Lineage: Eukaryota; Metazoa; Mollusca; Gastropoda; Lepetellida; Haliotidae.